UACGGAGGGUGCGAGCGUUAUCCGGAUUCACUGGGUUUAAAGGGUGCGUAGGUGGGAAUGUAAGUCAGUGGUGAAAUCUCUGAGCUUAACUCAGAAACUGCCAUUGAUACUAUGUUUCUUGAAUUUUCUGGAGGUCAGCGGAAUAUGUCAUGUAGCGGUGAAAUGCUUAGAUAUGACAUAGAACACCAAUUGCGAAGGCAGCUGGCUACAGGGAUAUUGACACUGAGGCACGAAAGCGUGGGGAUCAAACGGG
This 253-nucleotide ribosomal RNA is filed under the name uncultured bacterium. Its description in RNAcentral is "partial 16S ribosomal RNA". It matches the Rfam family "Bacterial small subunit ribosomal RNA", at positions 524 to 776 of the family's 1533-position model. The record is from RNAcentral.